AAAGCGACUCUCGGCAACGGAUAUCUCGGCUCUCGCAUCGAUGAAGAACGUAGCGAAAUGCGAUACUUGUGUGUAAUUGCAGAAUCCCGUGAACCAUCGAGUCUUUGAAACGCAAGUUGCGCCCCCAAGCCUUCUGGCCGAGGAGCACGUCUGCCUGGGUGUCACAA
This 167-nucleotide ribosomal RNA is filed under the name Arabidopsis thaliana (thale cress). Its description in RNAcentral is "5.8S ribosomal RNA". It matches the Rfam family "5.8S ribosomal RNA". From Rfam's summary of the family: 5.8S ribosomal RNA (5.8S rRNA) is a component of the large subunit of the eukaryotic ribosome. It is transcribed by RNA polymerase I as part of the 45S precursor that also contains 18S and 28S rRNA. Lineage: Eukaryota; Viridiplantae; Streptophyta; Magnoliopsida; Brassicales; Brassicaceae. The record is from RNAcentral.